This 253-nucleotide ribosomal RNA is filed under the name uncultured bacterium. RNAcentral's name for it is "partial 16S ribosomal RNA". It matches the Rfam family "Bacterial small subunit ribosomal RNA", at positions 524 to 776 of the family's 1533-position model. The record is from RNAcentral.
UACGAAGGGGGCUAGCGUUGUUCGGAAUCACUGGGCGUAAAGGGCGCGUAGGCGGCCGAUCAAGUCGGGGGUGAAAGCCUGUGGCUCAACCACAGAAUUGCCUUCGAUACUGUUUGGCUUGAGACCGGAAGAGGUAAGUGGAACUGCGAGUGUAGAGGUGAAAUUCGUAGAUAUUCGCAAGAACACCAGUGGCGAAGGCGGCUACCUGGACCGGUUCUGACGCUGAGGCGCGAAAGCGUGGGUAGCAAACAGG